This 337-nucleotide ribosomal RNA is filed under the name uncultured bacterium. Its description in RNAcentral is "bacterial SSU rRNA". It matches the Rfam family "Bacterial small subunit ribosomal RNA", at positions 9 to 349 of the family's 1533-position model. The record is from RNAcentral.
GAGUUUGAUCUUGGCUCAGAUUGAACGCUGGCGGCAGGCCUAACACAUGCAAGUCGAGCGGUAGAGAGAAGCUUGCUUCUCUUGAGAGCGGCGGACGGGUGAGUAAUGCCUAGGAAUCUGCCUGGUAGUGGGGGAUAACGCUCGGAAACGGACGCUAAUACCGCAUACGUCCUACGGGAGAAAGCAGGGGACCUUCGGGCCUUGCGCUAUCAGAUGAGCCUAGGUCGGAUUAGCUAGUUGGUGAGGUAAUGGCUCACCAAGGCGACGAUCCGUAACUGGUCUGAGAGGAUGAUCAGUCACACUGGAACUGAGACACGGUCCAGACUCCUACGGAGGC